RNAcentral lists this ribosomal RNA (667 nucleotides) under uncultured organism. Its description in RNAcentral is "bacterial SSU rRNA". It matches the Rfam family "Bacterial small subunit ribosomal RNA", at positions 741 to 1403 of the family's 1533-position model. The record is from RNAcentral.
UGACGCUGAGGCGCGAAGGCGUGGGGAGCGAACAGGAUUAGAUACCCUGGUAGUCCACGCAGUAAACGUUGAUCACUAGGUGUAGCGGGUAUUGACCCCUGCUGUGCCGGAGUUAACGCAUUAAGUGAUCCGCCUGGGGAGUACGAUCGCAAGAUUAAAACUCAAAGGAAUUGACGUGGGCCCGCACAACCGGUGGAGCAUGUGGUUUAAUUCGACGCAACGCGAAGAACCUUACCUGGACUUGACAUCUCGGGAAUUCCGUUGAAAGACGGGAGUGCCUUUAACGAGGAAUCCGAUGACAGGUGCAGCAUGGCUGUCGUCAGCUCGUGUCGUGAGACGUUGGGUUAAGUCCCGCAACGAGCGCAACCCCUAUCUUCAGUUACCAUCAGGUAAAGCUGGGGACUUUGGAGAUACUGCCCCGGUUAACGCCGAGGAAGGUGGGGAUGACGUCAAGUCCUCAUGGCCUUUAUGUCCAGGGCUACACACGUGCUACAAUGGUAUGUACUAAGGGAAGCGAUCCCGCGAGGAGGAGCUAAUCGCANAAAGCAUAUCAAAGUUCGGAUCGGCGUCUGCUACUCGACUCCGUGAAGUUGGAAUCGCUAGUAAUCGCGGAUCAGCAUGCCCCGGUGAUACGUUCCCGGCCAUUGUACACACCGCCCGUCACACC